GGGCCGGUGGUCUAGCGGUCUAGGACACCAACCUUACGAGGGGGGGUUCGUGGUUUCGAAUCCCACCCGGCCCACCA
Molecule: transfer RNA, 77 nt
Filed under: Candidatus Bathyarchaeota archaeon
Lineage: Archaea; Thermoproteati; Candidatus Bathyarchaeota
Description: tRNA-Val
Rfam family: tRNA
About the family: Transfer RNA (tRNA) molecules are approximately 80 nucleotides in length. Their secondary structure includes four short double-helical elements and three loops (D, anti-codon, and T loops).
Source: RNAcentral